Molecule: ribosomal RNA, 468 nt
Filed under: uncultured bacterium
Lineage: Bacteria
Description: partial 16S ribosomal RNA
Rfam family: Bacterial small subunit ribosomal RNA
Source: RNAcentral
GACGAACGCUGGCGGCGGGCUUAACACAUGCAAGUCGAACGGAAAGGCCCUGCUGUUGUGGGGUGCUCGAGUGGCGAACGGGUGAGUAACACGUGAGUAACCUGCCCUUGACUGUGGGAGAACUUCAGGAAACUGGGGUUAAUACCGGAUAGGAGCUCCUGCUGCAUGGUGGGGGUGGGAAAGUUUCGGCGGUUGGGGAUGGACGCGCGGCUUAUCAGCUUGUUGGUGGGGGAGUGGCGUACCAAGUCUUUGACGGGUAGCCGGCCUGAGAGGGUGACCGGCCACCUUGGGCCUGCGGUACGCCCCAGUCGCCUACGGGGGACAGCGGUGGGGAAUCUUGCACAAUGGGCCCGCGCGUAUUGAGGAGACGCCCCGUGUGGAAUGUAGGCCUUCGGGUUGUAAACCGAUUUAGCCUGUUACGAAGCGUGAGUGACGGUAAUGGGUAAAGAAGCACCGGCUAACUACGUG